UGGGGAAUAUUGCACAAUGGGCGAAAGCCUGAUGCAGCAACGCCGCGUGAGUGAUGAAGGCCUUCGGGUUGUAAAGCUCUGUCUUUUGGGACGAUAAUGACGGUACCAAAGGAGGAAGCCACGGCUAACUACGUGCCAGCAGCCGCGGUAAUACGUAGGUGGCAAGCGUUGUCCGGAUUUACUGGGCGUAAAGGAUGCGUAGGCGGAUUUUUAAGUGAGAUGUGAAAACCCUAAGCUUAACUUGGGGACUGCAUUUCAUACUGGAAAUCUAGAGUGCGGGAGAGGAGAAUGGAAUUCCUAGUGUAGCGGUGAAAUGCGUAGAGAUUAGGAAGAACACCAGUGGCGAAGGCGAUUCUCUGGACCGUAACUGACGCUGAGGCAUGAAAGCGUGGGUAGCAAACAGGAUUAGAUACCCUGGUAGUCCACGCCGUAAACGAUGAGUACUAGGUGUAGGGGGUUAUCGACCCCUUCUGUGCCGCAGUUAACACAAUAAGUACUCCGCCUGGGAAGUACGAUCGCAAGAUUAAAACUUAAAUGAAUUGACGGGGUCAUAGCUGUUUCCU
This 563-nucleotide ribosomal RNA is filed under the name uncultured bacterium. RNAcentral describes it as "partial 16S ribosomal RNA". It matches the Rfam family "Bacterial small subunit ribosomal RNA", at positions 355 to 1375 of the family's 1533-position model. The record is from RNAcentral.